RNAcentral lists this ribosomal RNA (328 nucleotides) under Salmonella enterica subsp. enterica serovar Blockley. RNAcentral's name for it is "bacterial SSU rRNA". It matches the Rfam family "Bacterial small subunit ribosomal RNA", at positions 244 to 537 of the family's 1533-position model. Lineage: Bacteria; Pseudomonadati; Pseudomonadota; Gammaproteobacteria; Enterobacterales; Enterobacteriaceae. The record is from RNAcentral.
UCUAGUAGGUUGGGUAACGGCUCACCUAGGCGACGAUCCCUACUGGUCUGAGAGGAUGACCAGCCACACUGGAACUGAGCACGGUCCAUACUCCUACGGGAGGCAGCAGUGGGGAAUAUUGCACAAUGGGCGCAAGCCUGAUGCAGCCAUUCCUCUUGUAUGAAGAAGGCCUUCGGGUUGUAAAGUACUUUUCACGAGGAGGAAGGUGUUGUGGUUAAUAACCGCAGCAAUUGACGUUACUCGCAGAAGAAGCACCGGCUAACUCCGUCCUAGCACCCGCUGGUUAAUACGGGGAGGGGUGCUAAGCGGUUUUAAUCUGGGGGAAAAU